AUUGAACGCUGGCGGCAUGCUUUACACAUGCAAGUCGAACGGCAGCACGGGCUUCGGCCUGGUGGCGAGUGGCGAACGGGUGAGUAAUGCAUCGGAACGUGCCCAUGUUGUGGGGGAUAACUACGCGAAAGCGUGGCUAAUACCGCAUACGCCCUGAGGGGGAAGGCGGGGGGAUUCUUCGGAACCUCGCGCAAUUGGAGCGGCCGAUGUCAGAUUAGCUUGUUGGUGAGGUAAAGGCUCACCAAGGCGACGAUCUGUAGCGGGUCUGAGAGGAUGAUCAGCCACACUGGGACUGAGACACGGCCCAGACUCCUACGGGAGGCAGCAGUGGGGAAUAUUGGACAAUGGGCGCAAGCCUGAUCCAGCAAUGCCGCGUGGGUGAAGAAGGCCUGCGGGUUGUAAAGCCCUUUAAGCGGGGAGGAAAGCCGGGGUGUGGAAUAGCGCCUCGGGGUGACGUUACCCGCAGAAUAGCACCGGCUAACUCCGUGCCAGCAGCCGACGG
This 502-nucleotide ribosomal RNA is filed under the name uncultured bacterium. RNAcentral describes it as "bacterial SSU rRNA". It matches the Rfam family "Bacterial small subunit ribosomal RNA", at positions 28 to 520 of the family's 1533-position model. The record is from RNAcentral.